Long non-coding RNA from Lutra lutra (Eurasian river otter), 352 nucleotides. RefSeq lists it as uncharacterized. Lineage: Eukaryota; Metazoa; Chordata; Mammalia; Carnivora; Mustelidae. The transcript has 3 exons. The record is from RefSeq and is a predicted model, not a curated record.
UCGGGCCAGGGAACUGACUAGGUCUCAAAUUGGGGGAGAGCCCAGGAAGGAACAGACCAAAAAGUGAAACCAUCAGCCUCCAGCCUGGGGAAGUGGGUUUGAGCCCAGAGAGCUUUCUGGCCCUGUACUUCCUAACUGGGACCUGAUGGAGGCCAGACCACCUGCUCCUCUCUGCAAAGGGACCACAGCACCUGCUUCGCUGGAGCCGGCAUAGGAGAGUGCAUUCCUUUCCAGGGUUUGCUAUAACAAAUCACACACGCUGGAUGGCUUAUGGUGGCACUAAUGUGGCCGUUCCCAGGCCUGGAGACCGGAGGCUGGAAGGGCAUAUCAAGUUCCUUCCAGCUUACCUUUU